RNAcentral lists this ribosomal RNA (120 nucleotides) under Thermochaetoides thermophila DSM 1495. Lineage: Eukaryota; Fungi; Ascomycota; Sordariomycetes; Sordariales; Chaetomiaceae. The record is from RNAcentral.
AUAUACGGCCGUACCUAGUGGAAAAUUUGGGAUCCCGUCUUCUCUCUCAUAGAAAAGCCUUUGAGGGCCAGGCUAGCACUCAGGUUGGAGACGAUUGGGGAAUUCUCGAUGUUGUAUCUU